GUCUGGUUUCAGGACCCACUAUCGCCCCUCAAUGACCACUUGAUAAAAGUUAAACAUCUCAAAUUUAUUUGACGAAAAGGCGUGUGUUUUGAACCUGAGAUAAUCCAGAAUAUCACAGCAUGAAAACACAGAAGACAAGUUUAAUGAUAAA
Molecule: long non-coding RNA, 151 nt
Organism: Sphaeramia orbicularis (orbiculate cardinalfish)
Lineage: Eukaryota; Metazoa; Chordata; Actinopteri; Kurtiformes; Apogonidae
Exons: 2
Source: RefSeq, a predicted model, not a curated record